This 303-nucleotide ribosomal RNA is filed under the name uncultured bacterium. Its description in RNAcentral is "bacterial SSU rRNA". It matches the Rfam family "Bacterial small subunit ribosomal RNA", at positions 28 to 334 of the family's 1533-position model. The record is from RNAcentral.
GACGAACGCUGGCGGCGUGCUUAACACAUGCAAGUCGAACGGUAAGGCCCUUUCGGGGGUACACGAGUGGCGAACGGGUGAGUAACACGUGGGUAAUCUGCCCUGCACUUCGGGAUAAGCCUGGGAAACUGGGUCUAAUACCGGAUAUGAGCUCUCACCGCAUGGUGGGGGUUGGAAAGUUUUUCGGUGCAGGAUGAGCCCGCGGCCUAUCAGCUUGUUGGUGGGGUAAUGGCCUACCAAGGCGACGACGGGUAGCCGGCCUGAGAGGGUGAUCGGCCACACUGGGACUGAGACACGGCCCAG